GACGAACGCUGGCGGCGUGCUUAACACAUGCAAGUCGAGCGGUAAGGCCCCUUCGGGGUACGACGAGCGGCGAACGGGUGAGUAACACGUGGGUGACCUGCCCUCAGCUCUGGGAUAAGCCUGGGAAACUGGGUCUAAUACCGGAUAUGACUCCAUGACGCAUGUCGUGGGGUGGAAAGCCUUGUGCGGCUGGGGAUGGGCCCGCGGCCUAUCAGCUUGUUGGUGGGGUGANGGCCUACCAAGGCGACGACGGGUAGCCGGCCUGAGAGGGCGACCGGCCACACUGGGACUGAGACACGGCCCAGACUCCUACGGGAGGCAGCAGUGGGGAAUCUUGCGCAAUGGGCGAAAGCCUGACGCAGCGACGCCGCGUGAGGGAUGACGG
RNAcentral lists this ribosomal RNA (385 nucleotides) under uncultured bacterium. RNAcentral's name for it is "bacterial SSU rRNA". It matches the Rfam family "Bacterial small subunit ribosomal RNA", at positions 28 to 414 of the family's 1533-position model. The record is from RNAcentral.